This 255-nucleotide ribosomal RNA is filed under the name uncultured bacterium. RNAcentral describes it as "partial 16S ribosomal RNA". It matches the Rfam family "Bacterial small subunit ribosomal RNA", at positions 524 to 776 of the family's 1533-position model. The record is from RNAcentral.
UACGUAGGGGGCGAGCGUUGUCCGGAAUCAUUGGGCGUAAAGCGCGUGUAGGCGGCUCGGUAAGUCCGGUGUGAAACCUUGGGGCUCAACCCCAAGCCUGCACUGGAUACUGUCGAGCUCGAGUCCGGGAGGGGAGAGCGGAAUUCCUAGUGUAGCGGUGAAAUGCGCAGAUAUUAGGAAGAACACCGGUGGCGAAGGCGGCUCUCUGGAACGGUACUGACGCUGAGACGCGAAAAGCGUGGGGGAGCGAACAGG